CUAAACACAUGGAACAGUGCUUCGCACAUAGAAGAAGGUGCUGAGAAAUCAUCAAAGAGCAGAUGUGUGAGCAUACAAAGGGAUGAGCGAAUGGUGCUCUUGACCUCUAUGCAUCUUCUCCUCCUAGGGCGCCGGCCUGUUGUCAGCAGAAGUUUCACCAUCUCAGGCUCCUUGUUGGUGUUUCUCAUCAUAUUCACAGUUCUGGGCUUCACCCACUUCCUUAUGGUCCUGAUCCGUGCCCUGUUCAGACAUUACUCUACCAGGGCAAAUUGGUCUAUAUGACUGUCUGCCUCAGACCUGGAGAAUAAAACCGGACAAGCAAGGAGACCCGGUGGGAUCAUUAGAGAGGCUGCAAAGAUGCCCCAUCUCAGCAUCGCCAGUGACAGAGAGUUGGAACCACAGCGCAUGUCGGAUGAAUGUCAUGGUUAGAAACUGCUGGGCAACGAGACUCACUGGUGUGCGAAAUGUUCACAACUUGAUGCCGAGUUAGAAACGCACAGUACAGACCUGCAUCUGAUAAGACCAUGUUGUGAAAAGUAUAGAUUAGUUAACUGAUAUAGGUACAAUAUUACAGUAUGUGUACACACACACACACAUAUGCUAUAUAUAUCCAGUGAGAUGGUUGGAUGGCAUCGUCGACUCAAUGGACAUGAGUUUGCACAAACUCCGAGAGAUAGUGAAAGACGGGACCCUGGUGUGCUGCAGUCCAUGGCGCAAAGAGUGGGACAUGACUUAGCAAGUGAACAACGAUGACAAUAUCCACAUAUAGAUAUACCAUAUGUAUCUCCAUAUAUAUAAAAAUAUCUGUGCACAAAUUGUAGAAACUGUUAACUCUUAAUGGUGCUAUCUAAAUUUCCCUUUUUGCACUUUACCGUAUGCUCUGAAGUGGUUUUUUUUUUUUUUUCCUUCUCAAAGUGUAUACGUUGUUUUCAUAUUUAACAUAAGAACCAAU
Molecule: long non-coding RNA, 952 nt
Organism: Bos indicus x Bos taurus (hybrid cattle)
Lineage: Eukaryota; Metazoa; Chordata; Mammalia; Artiodactyla; Bovidae
Source: Ensembl